Long non-coding RNA from Felis catus (domestic cat), 1000 nucleotides. RefSeq lists it as uncharacterized. The record is from RefSeq and is a predicted model, not a curated record. The transcript has 5 exons. Lineage: Eukaryota; Metazoa; Chordata; Mammalia; Carnivora; Felidae.
UAUGGGAAGGGAAGGCGAUAUUCUACCAUCCCAAAAAUAGCUGGGUUAUUACUACAGGAAAAAGAUAAGACGAAGGCAGAUUAGUCACAUUUCCUUAUUUGUUAUUGUACCAAAAUUAUCCUGUGAAUUGCAAAGUCAUUUUGCAUUGCUAUUGAGACUUCUUAAAUGCAUCACAUUACUGAGACUGGAGUAGAAGAAAAAAAUCACUUGAAUCAAAGCACAAGUCUUCACAACAUGAGAUAACAUGUCUGCUCGGCUCCUCUCUGUUGCUGAUGUCUGAAGCUUUGAGACUAUGAAAGUUAGUCAUACUAAUCAAGUUUGUUCCCAGUGUCCAAGAUCUUCUGACAUCGUGUCUCUUGGGACAUUCAAUCAAGCCAGUCACCACACUGUUAGGAAACCCACACAGAAGCAGCUUGCAGAGAGGUCCACAUGAAGAGAUUCAAAGCUCAGGGCAUCAGCUGCAUGACUGAACUGUCAGCCAGUAGCCAGGCAUAUGAAGGAGUCACCUCGGAAGUGAUCCUGUAGUCCCCAGUUGAGCUGGUGCCACCUGGAGCAGAGUCUAAUGGAUGACCACAUUCCACUGUGGAGGAAAUGUGGAUGAGAUGAGCUAUUGCAAUGGACCAUCCAGCAUUUCAAAUGCAGAAGCCUCCCAAAUCAGAUUAUUCAAGCGUUGGAACAGCUCUUCAAUUAAGAGGAGACGAAGCUCCUUGAAAGCUGUGCCUUUGUCUGUUUCACUCCAUCUACCAUAUUGAAGAGACCAUCCCUUCAAGGACAAAUUGUGUCACUUGUGUAGAAUUAGAAAAUAGAAUUGGGAUGAGGAGAGAUUUUCUCUGGCAACAUCAAUGCGCAGUAUGUUUGCAAUAGAAAGUCAACUGUCUUGUAUUUUGGUUGAUACAGCUGAGGUCUCUGAGCUAUGAGACAUAGAAGAAAAGAAAUAAAAAUAUAUCCUUUACUUUUCUUCAUGUGGAUGCUGCUGGUUUGUCAUAAGAGAAGCAUUGGA